CCAGACCUUCAGCUGACGUAAUCGACCUCACAAAGACAAGAUGACAGAUGGGAUGAUGCACGUGGAUCUCGGGGGCAUCACUGAAAGCAACAGAAGACCUGGCUAAUGUCAGUUCGGACAGCCUCCAGCACUGGCAGGAGAUGGCUGGGGGGCUGGGAAGACCACCGGACAAUCGCACGUCUCUGCAGAUAGUUCUGAAGAACACCUUUGCACGUCCCGAGGGGAGACCGGGGACGUGCUGCUGAGCUGGAGCGGCGAGAGUGCUGGUGCACACGCGACCCGCGACCCGAGUCCUUCCGCGGUGCGGAUGGAGGCCUAGCGUGUGACCGAGCAGAGCGGAGGGGACGAGGGCAGAGUGUGGCCUGAGUGGAGAUUAAAUACGUGCCCGGCACUCAAGGGCAUUACACCUCUGUGGCAGGGCCCCUUCAGAGCAGCGUGUGCAGACAGGCACCGCAUCACUGCCGCCAGACGGGCUAGCAGAGCACCCUCUUAGCCUCAAUCAGCAGGAAAUGGGGAGUAAUAAUACACGUGUGAGAAGAAGAGCCUUCAGGAAGUGCCACAGCUUAGAGAGCAGGUCCUGCUCUUCUAAAAUGCCUGAGCCUUUAUGUUGACCGCUUGUGCAAAGUUAAUUUUCUCUAACACGGUCCCUUUUUUCACACUCACAGUUAGGUCUGUCAGUUGUUUUUUAUAGUGUUUUAC
This 699-nucleotide long non-coding RNA is filed under the name Lepisosteus oculatus (spotted gar). Its description in RNAcentral is "lncRNA (ENSLOCG00000023305.1)". Lineage: Eukaryota; Metazoa; Chordata; Actinopteri; Semionotiformes; Lepisosteidae. The record is from RNAcentral.